Long non-coding RNA from Belonocnema kinseyi, 872 nucleotides. RefSeq lists it as uncharacterized. The transcript is spliced from 3 exons. Lineage: Eukaryota; Metazoa; Arthropoda; Insecta; Hymenoptera; Cynipidae. The record is from RefSeq and is a predicted model, not a curated record.
CCACCUUCUCUACUUUACCAUGCCAUCUUGUGAUAGUCGAGACACAUUUCGUGUUGUAUAUGGUUGAUACAUCAUACCCAAAAAUAAAAGGUCUUUAACAGAUGCUGUAAAAAAUAUAUACAUUAAUUGUUAUUGUGGCGCAAAAUAAAGUCUUGACCAUUCUUGCAUUCCUCAUUUCAAUUGUUCGACUUGUCUAAGUGACAUUAGCAGACAUUGCAAAGACUAGGAAAAAAACGUCGUAUCUCUCUGCCUAUGAUCUGACUUAAACUUUCAAGUCAUGAAAUCAUACUUUAUACAUCACAUAAACCUGGCCUUGGCACCGCCGUUUCUGUAACGGCAAUCGUCAUGAAGCUUCAAGGGGAACAAUCCACAAGAAUAAGUGGUUUGAGCGAUGAAGAUAUAACAUUCGAAACGAUUAAAAGAUAUGCCCUUGCAGCUUUAAAAAAGGAGCGGUACACAGUAAGAGAAAUAGCAGAUGAAGGAGACACCAUAGGUCUUCUAAAGGCAGAAAUUUCAGAUCAAGAUUAAAACAUCCAUGAAAACGCCGAUAUUGGUCGGCAGAGCUCUGCACAAUGUAAUUCGAGUGACUGGAGGUUUGAAAGAAGAAAAAAAAACGUUGUUUGGUCACUUUCCUCAGUGUUGUGAAAUUCUACGAAAAGUAUGACCUUCCUGAAAAUACUGAGAGUACAGCCCGUGUAACUUGGACUGACUGAAACAAGUACAAGGAUAUUUCAAUGGGUGCUGUCGCACCUUCUGUCUCUGAAAGUUAUUUCGUCGUACAUUUGCCUGAAGGACAAAAUGAUUCGUUAACACAAAUACAUUAUAUCGGAAGCCUCAACAGUGAAGAUGGUCUUGACAAAAUUACCUACGCU